This 328-nucleotide ribosomal RNA is filed under the name uncultured bacterium. RNAcentral's name for it is "bacterial SSU rRNA". It matches the Rfam family "Bacterial small subunit ribosomal RNA", at positions 568 to 898 of the family's 1533-position model. The record is from RNAcentral.
CGCGUAGGUGGUAGUGCAAGUCUGGGGUGGAAUCCUAUGGCUUAACCAUAGAAUUGCCUUGGAAACUGUAUUACUUGAGUCAGUGAGGGGAGGGUAGAAUUCCUGGUGUAGCGGUGAAAUGCGUAGAUAUCAGGAGGAAGGCCUGUGGCGAAGGCGGCCCUCUGGCGCUGAACUGACACUGAGGCGCGAAAGCGUGGGGAGCAAACAGGAUUAGAUACCCUGGUAGUCCACGCCCUAAACGGUGGGCACUAGGUGUAGGGCUCGUAAGGGUUCUGUGCCGAAGCGAAAGCAUUAAGUGCCCGCCUGGGAGUACGGCCGCAAGGUUGAA